RNAcentral lists this transfer RNA (62 nucleotides) under Cavia porcellus (domestic guinea pig). It matches the Rfam family "tRNA". From Rfam's summary of the family: Transfer RNA (tRNA) molecules are approximately 80 nucleotides in length. Lineage: Eukaryota; Metazoa; Chordata; Mammalia; Rodentia; Caviidae. The record is from Rfam by way of RNAcentral.
GGGGAUUUAGCUCAGUGGCAUAAGCGCCUGCCUUGUAAGCAGGCAGUCGUGAGUUAUCCCUG